RNAcentral lists this ribosomal RNA (1003 nucleotides) under Myospora metanephrops. RNAcentral's name for it is "SSU rRNA". It matches the Rfam family "Microsporidia small subunit ribosomal RNA", at positions 261 to 1181 of the family's 1311-position model. Lineage: Eukaryota; Fungi; Microsporidia; Crustaceacida; Myosporidae. The record is from RNAcentral.
GACGGCUACCAGGUCCAAGGACAGCAGCAGGCGCGAAAAUUACCGAAGCCUACAACAGGGCGGUAGUAAUGAGACGUGAAAACUAGACACGAAUAAAAUACGUGUUAGCAACUGGAGGUCAAGUCUGGUGUCAGCAUCCGCGGUAAUACCAGCUCCAGGGGUGUCUAUGAUGAUUGCUGCGAUUAAAAGGUCCGUAGUCUUAUGUCAGAACCGAUGUGUAAGAUGCUCGAUCUAAGAGCAAAAAGGAUUGGUACAGACAUACAUAUAUAGUGGUGUGUAUAUAGAGAUGUUAUAUUUGUAAUGUUGAUAUGUAUAUGGUGCAAUAUAUUGAAAUGAGGAGCGACCGGGGGCUAGAUUAUCGAGCAACGAGAGGUGAAAUUUGAUGACUUGCUUGGGAGUAACAGAGGCGAAAGCGCUAGUCAAGGGCGAAUCCGAUGAUCAAGGACGUAGGCUGGAGGAUCGAACACGAUUAGAUACCGUAGUAGUUCCAGCAGUAAACUAUGCCGACGCCGUGGGUUGUUUGACCCGCGGAAGAGAAAUCUAGUAGGGCUUUGGGGAGAGUACGCGCGCAAGCGAUAAAUUUAAAGGAAAUUGACGGAAGAACACCACAAGGAGUGGAGUGUGCGGCUUAAUUUGACUCAACGCGGGACAGCUUACCAGGCCCGAGGAUUGUACGAGCGAAUACGCGAUAGAUCUGAAAGUGGUGCAUGGCCGUUAUCGACGAAUGGAGUGAUCUUUUGGUUAAAUCCGUCAAUUCGUGAGACCCUUUUAAUUUGAUUAAUGUCAGAGGUUGAUACAGGUAUGAAAAUACAGGGGGGAAAGGACAAGAACAGGUCAGUGAUGCCCUUAGAUGGCCUGGGCUGCACGCGCACUACAGUGGUUACUUUAAACUGAAGAGACGAAUAAAUGUAAUCGAGAGGGAAUGAGCGCUGCAAGGCGCACAGGAACGAGGAAUUGCUAGUAAUCGUAGGCUCAGUAAGAUACGAUGAAUGUGUCCCUGUUC